Long non-coding RNA from Pelodiscus sinensis (Chinese soft-shelled turtle), 4523 nucleotides. RefSeq lists it as uncharacterized. NCBI's taxonomy places the organism in Eukaryota, Metazoa, Chordata, Testudines, Trionychidae. The record is from RefSeq and is a predicted model, not a curated record.
UUUUCAUUUAAAACAGCAGUAACAGCAAUGGUUUGGUUAGUAGCCACAUGUAAAAUGAAAAUCAGCAUUAAAUGCCAUGAACCAAAAUUUUCAAAAAUCAGUGUAUGAAUAUAGGUUCCUAAUUAAUAAGUGAACCCAUAAUUCUCACUGAAAAAGUUACUGCAGGAAAAAUUAGACCACUUUUAUUUAGAUGCUUCACAUAUGGAAUUAGCAGCAUGGAGUUGUACAUGGAAUUUUAAUUUUUGGCCCAUGUACAGUGCCAAUGACCUCCAUUCCCUUCAAAUGCACCUUCCUCCCAAACUGGUCUCCUAUACAAUGGAAUGAUUUUCAGACAUUUUAUCACAGUUAGAGCCAAUGAAAAGAUCUAGUUUUUAAUUCUAUUUGUUUCAGUAGUCUGGGCCUAUACAUACUGUACUUGCCAAAGAGCCAUGGAUUUGAUGCUGAUUAUUUUAAAUGUUUUUUUGCCAUGAAAUUCAGUAGGUAGGGAUAGUCAUAAAUCAGCAAGUAAAGCCCAGUUCUGAAAACCCUUUCUUAGGUGAGUAGUCGCUAACUCAUUUAAGUAGUCGUAUUGACAUUAAACAGCUUGCACAAAUAAGGACUACUUAGGUAAGGGUUUGCAGGAACAAGACCUAUUUUUUAUGGUAGAUCAUGCAUCUAUAAAGAUCAUUAGCUAUUUCUAAGGACACACGCACACACAUACACAGAUGCAUAACAUGCCUAAACACUGCACUUUUUAAUACAAUACAUAUAUGUAUGCAUCCUUUGCAUCAUGUAAUAACUUGUAAAACAGAAUAAUCACCUCCGUUUUUUUUUCUUUAAAAACACAGCAUAACUACUUUGUGGGAUUUGGCAUCAACAUUAGAAAAGGUAACUGUUUCCAGAGAACUAAGGGAAUUAGAGUAUACAAAAAUUAUUCAGUCAGCCCUCCACAACUACUAAUCCAGUUUUCUCCCCUGCAGUCUGUUUUGUUCAGCUUAGUUUUAAAUGUCUCAAGUGAACAGAUUUCCACUACUUUCCUUUGGAGAUUAUUUUUCAUUCUAAUCAAUUUCAGUUUCAGGAAGUUUCUUAACAUCCAGUCCAGAUUUUCCUUUGAAUCAUCUGGUUACUACUUGUUAUACACACUUAAGACACUGCUAAUAUUUUCUCUGUCUGCUAAAUGAAACUGAAAGGACAGAAUGUUUGAACUGUUAUUUAAGACAAUCCCCAAAAUGUAUUUUAAAUCCAAUGACGGUGGUCUAAAAGAACAACUCUUACCACUAUAUUACUAUGUGGCAUCGCUAUACUAUUGUGAUUUGGGUAUUAUAAAUAUACAGAAGCAAAAUAUCUAGUUAAAUUUAUUUGAAAAGGAGAUUUCCCACAUAGUUUGGCAAUGGAACCAAUAUGAAAAAGGUGAAUUUGGGAACCUAGUGGACCAGAGUGUUUGCAGAUUUAGAAAUGUUAUGAGUCCAGCAGAACAUUGAAUUGGAAAAAAAGGAUACAGUAUCUCUGGACACCACUACCUCUAAAGAAUCAUGUUACAUUUCAGCUUUUUUCCCCCCCAAUAAGUAGUUACAAUACUGCAACUCCAUAGUGUGAGCACUGACUAUGAGAUAUGCAGUAGCUACUAUUGCUUGGUAAUAAAAACAGGCAUCUCAAAAGAAGGAAAAGUCUUUUGGAUUUAGAACACUAAUUUAAUAUGUAGUAUUUUCAAAAAUCGAUGUGUGUUAGCAGCAUUGUCACAUUAAAGUUUUAUUUCCAUUCUACAGAUGGGAAAACUGAGGAAGAAAGUGUCUUCACUAAAGAUAUGGUGGAUGCCACAAUCAGAUUAUGAAACCAGAGGUGACAUCAUGGCUCUAUUGAAAACACACACUGGACUCUAUGAAAAAGGAUCUAAUUGAUGAAUAUAAAAGAAGCUUCAAGUGAUUCAGCUGUUUCCAUUCAGAUCUUCUCUGGAAGAAGCAGAGCCACAGAACAACAGGGAUAGGAAGAGGCAGGUGGGUGGACAUUAAGACCCAGUGGUGCUCCAAAUUCUGGGGUGCUCUAUGCAGCUACAUAUUCUGAAUAUGGGUACACACAGCCCUGAAAAGAAAAGUGAGGCGGCUGAAGGAAACUUAAAAGAGCUACGUACGUGAAAGAUGACUUCAAAAUAAAUGUUCAUGUAUAUGCAUGUGAACAUAUGUAUAUGAGGUGGAAUGGAAUAAAAAAGUAAUUUCAGCGCCCUGAUAUUUCUUUGCAUAUUGUCCCAUGAAACUAUCACAUUCAAUCUAGAACACCCUGCAUGCGCACAUGUACAUGCAUAAAAAUGCAUGUAGGAGACAGAGAAGGACAAGUGUUUUAAACAAUACGCAACUUACCCACGCAAGAGCGUGAUCCUCCUCUGACUUACAUUAGAGUAAAUCAUUAAUGACUAGUUUAAGUCAUGGGGUUUCAAUGGAACAAAAGUGAACUCAGGAGAAGGAUGCUCAUGUCUCCAGCCUUAAAUCCGUUAGUAUGCACUAGUGAAUACCUGUGUAGUCGUAGCAAGCAUGCAUUUGUAAGUGUUUCUCUUCAGUCCUAGGUCUGUUGAAGCACUUCCCCAUGAAAGCUAUAUCUAUUGAGAGGAACAGGUUUGGAACAGUAUCUCCACUAGCAGCAAUCACAAAAUAGUCAAUAUUAUUUUCUGACAUGCUGUGAAGAGAAUAAAAAUUCCAUUCUUUAUCCAUGAUAAAAGACAAUUCCUAUACCAAGACCGGUACAGAAAAAUAUCCAGAAACACACUGCCACCAACAGGUCUAAAUCCUUGAACAGUCAACAUAAAAAAAUAAAUAAGUGGGGCACAUCAUUAUGUUACAUUAAUACACAUAACAAGGAGAUGCAGCCCUAUUUACAAGGAGUCCUUCAUAUUUCUGUAUAAAUACAAGAGGAGAUAUGCUUGGGAGAGUAGUCCCUUUGAAUUCAUGACUUUUUUUUUGCAAUUAAAAUCUCAAUUAGUGAAUUACAGUAAAGUAGCUACUGGGGUACUGUUUCAUGUAGCAGAAUACAAGAUUUUUGUUUUUUUGUUUUUUUACAAUUUUAUACUUAAAUAUGUAGCUUUAUAGACAGAAAGGCUAUAAUACAAAAUUAGACAGAAAAACUCCUUCUCAUUUUUUAAAACUAGAAUAAAGCAUCACAUGCAAGCUUACGCCAAAAUGGUUCAGAUGAAAGCGUGACUCAUAGUAAGGCAUACAAGGGAACCAGGAAACUCUAUGUCCAAAUAGUGAAUCUAAUCUGUCUGUAAGAGUAAUUCUAAGUGAAUUAUCACAGUGUGAAAACGGUACCUUUUUCCAUUCAUAAAAAGGGCCCUACUCGACCCCAUGUCAGUAUCAAGGGCAGGCUACAAUCUUAAAGGAAUUUAUCAAGAUUAAGUAGUAUUUAAUCCCACAGUCUAAAAAGAACCAUUCAGAAAAAGGAAGGAAGGGGUGGAGUAUGACUCUAAUGCCACAAUCUGAGAUCAUUUAAAAAAGCCAAGUACAUAGUUUCCACACUAAAACAGAGAAGGAACAUUUUUGUGGACUCUAAAAUAUUGCAAAAUCUUUUCUCUCCUUUAUUUUUGUAAACAAGUCACCAAAGUGCAUUUAGAAUUAUAAUGGCUGCAAAUGGUGUAAUGUUUCAUGUAAUCAGUAGAUUUAAUUGCACUCCUAAAAAGUUAUUUCUAGUUUGAAAGUAAAAAUAAAAAUAAAUCCAUCCUCAAUAAAAACAACAAUGAAACGCAUAUUGCUCCCAGCUUUUAAGAGACCUCUCAGUCAACCUGCCUCUUCAGCUUGCAGGAUUUGUUUUCUUUUGUUACUCUCUAACUCUCUAUAAUUCUCUGACAGACUAUUUCACAAAACAUAUCUUGAAACUAGACAAACCUAUCAAUACAUGUUGUAAUCCAGUCUUUUUAAAGAGGACCACAAACUGAAACACACACAGCCAGUCAUUUCACUCAGAUGAGUUGCAGGCCCCUUAAGCUAUUAUCUGGUCCCUUAUAUAACACACACAGGCUCUGUACUUUGCAGAAGGCUUGUCUGUCUAUGUAAGACAGUGUCUUUGACUUUAACGUGAAUAGAAUUCAUGUGCAUUUGCAUUCAUGUAAUAGCAGAAUUGGACUCUCUUUCUGUACCAUCCUAGCAUGUUAUAGUUAUGGAAUGCAAAGAACUAGUUGACGUGUAUAAUGAUCAACUGUCCUAGUCCACCUGGUACCUAUAAUUUUCUGAGAUACCCUUUCCAUUAUACACCCAAUAUACUGCACAAAAACAGCAGGUACAAUUACAGUAGAGACAAGCUUCUAAAAAUACAUUAAUAAAAGGGUUAACCCCUCCCCUCCAAAAAAUACUUGUCAGUUGAGAGAAGAGAUAACCCUCCAAGAAACUAAAAUCUCUAUACCUGUACUCCAGCAUUCUGACUGUGCCCACAAACUGCCAGCAAUAACAUUUCACAUGGGUGGGAAAAACUGAAUUUGACUUUCCAAGAGACAAAAUGUGUGACAUUGUAGGGAUAACAUAUUAAUGUACUGAAAAUGAUUCCCCCAAAUGGAAGUGACUCCC